This 24-nucleotide microRNA is filed under the name Ananas comosus (pineapple). RNAcentral describes it as "microRNA s0709_c92a". Lineage: Eukaryota; Viridiplantae; Streptophyta; Magnoliopsida; Poales; Bromeliaceae. The record is from RNAcentral.
CUUUUUCUUUCUGUAACACUUCUC